UGUUUUGACAUCGGGAUUAUUUUUGCAGCUGUCAAUUGCAAUGCCCUGAGCUAUUUUAUUUUUCAUGAGCGCUUUUUCAAUGAGACAUUUCUUAUCUGGAAUCAAGUCACAAAAUUCCACAGAAAGCUUUGUUGACCAAGAGAAUUACGUGUGGUUUUUCAUGGUUAUCUUUUUGAGGUGUAUGGAUGAAUCCAAGACUGUAGUAAGAAUCAGUUUAUAACAAAUGAAUGGGUAGCACUGCUGUUACAGUUAAUAUGUAUCAAGUCAGGUAAAAAACUCUGUAGUUCUACCUCUCUGUUGGCCAAUUCAUGAGGUGAAGGGUAUGGAUCAAAGUGUCAGCAGUCUGAGAGUGAAAGAACGUGAAUUCAAAUGAAAAAGCUUUUUAAAAAAUUCCCUGUUAUUACCCUGAAGAGAGAAUUCAUUACUUCUGCUGAUCAUAAGGAAUAAGGACAGAUCAUUAUUUUACCUACCUUACCUUAGUCAGGAGCUUUUUACAUUCUUUUUUUUAUUAAACAUUCCUUAGUCUAUAUAGACUGUGCCCAGAACCUGGAAGCUGAUGGUAGACGACAUAGUUCACAGAAAAACACCUCUUAGGAAGAGCUCAGCCAUGGAGCACCACACCCUGUGUUACUCAGUCAUAGGAUACAUUAAUAUGCAUCAACAUCUGUUUUUAUAACCUUUUUGAAUCAUCCUUUCCCAUACAGGGUUCAGGUUCCAUAAUUCAUUUUUGUGAUCAUAUUUUAGCAGCACUUUACAUCACUUUCCCUAAUGGUUUUUGUAGCGCCUCCUCGCCAGAUGUCAUCUGGGAGCGUUCCUGGCUCUUCUAGAGACAGCAUGAUGAUCUAUCUCCUUGCUGGUGUUGCUGCUUUUGGUGGUUUAUUUUAUGCCUACAGAGUAGUCAGUUCACCCCGCAGCAAGUUUGUUGAAGAUACAAAUAUUCUUCGUGAGAGAGCCGAUGAGCAGAAAAGCAAUCCUUGGUCAAGAAAGGCUUCUGAGGAGGAGAAGACAACUGAAGAGGUUGCUAAAGAGCCCUAAAGUAAGCAGUGUGGACACCUUUGGAAAGUAUAAUGCAAAUAUUUGUGGCAAUCAACCAGCUGAUUCCUGUGUGAAACCUCAUCAUACUCUUCCUUGGAGACAUCGAAGAAACUGUGCAGUUUGUCCUACCACACACUGGCCAUUCUGGCCAGUACUAUCCAGUGCUGCAAGAGAUGAAUUGUGCUGCCUAGAGAAACGCUUCUGUGACUAA
Molecule: long non-coding RNA, 1246 nt
Filed under: Zonotrichia albicollis (white-throated sparrow)
Lineage: Eukaryota; Metazoa; Chordata; Aves; Passeriformes; Passerellidae
Description: lncRNA (ENSZALG00000003301.1)
Source: RNAcentral